Caenorhabditis elegans is the source of this 211-nucleotide long non-coding RNA. Ensembl annotates it as ncRNA. Its record names the gene Y41C4A.17. The record is from Ensembl. Lineage: Eukaryota; Metazoa; Nematoda; Chromadorea; Rhabditida; Rhabditidae.
AUCUCGAUUAUUCGACUACUUGUGUUGUGGUCAAUUUUUUUUUCGGAUACUUGUUCUAUACUAUUUUGGAUCUUUAAUUUUAAUAUUGCGUGCCAAACGACUCUCUAUGACACGGACACAUACGUAUGCUACUGCAGUGUGUCGGGUGCCUUACGAUGUUCAUAUUUAAUAAAUAAUUUUAUUUUAUGGAAAUGUAUAAUUGAUAGCUGUU